AUCAACAUCUCAAAAAAAAAAUGUUAAUACUGCUGAAAACUUUGAAGAAUUCAGCUUAGUCUGUGAAUGGUUCUUCCUAGGCACCCGGAAUGACACAUGAUCCCGGUGGGCUAUUUCCCUUCCAUGACUUCACCGGAAACUGGCUCUGAGGAAGCUGGAUGCCUUAUAAGCAGUCUGACUGUCCUGAGGCCACCAUGAUGUAAGGAAGCCCAAAGGAACCUACAGAGAGAGACUGAAUAUGGAGAGAGACGCCUGGCCAGGACCUCAGCUGCUCUAGUCCUGUACUACUUUCCUUCCGGCCACCUCUUUGCCUGCAAAUCCACUGACAGGCCACAAGCCAGCAUUGUCUACCCAAGCCCUACUCAGAUUCCUGACCUGCAGAAACUGUGAAAGAUAAUAAAAUGAUUAUUGAAAUCA
Non-coding RNA from Marmota flaviventris (yellow-bellied marmot), 417 nucleotides. Lineage: Eukaryota; Metazoa; Chordata; Mammalia; Rodentia; Sciuridae. The record is from RefSeq and is a predicted model, not a curated record.